UGCAGUCGAACGAUGACUAUCUAGCUUGCUAGAUAUGAUUAGUGGCGGACGGGUGAGUAACAUUUAGGAAUCUGCCUAGUAGUGGGGGAUAGCUCGGGGAAACUCGAAUUAAUACCGCAUACGACCUACGGGUGAAAGGGGGCGCAAGCUCUUGCUAUUAGAUGAGCCUAAAUCAGAUUAGCUAGUUGGUGGGGUAAAGGCCUACCAAGGCGACGAUCUGUAACUGGUCUGAGAGGAUGAUCAGUCACACCGGAACUGAGACACGGUCCGGACUCCUACGGGAGGCAGCAGUGGGGAAUAUUGGACAAUGGGGGCAACCCUGAUCCAGCCAUGCCGCGUGUGUGAAGAAGGCCUUUUGGUUGUAAAGCACUUUAAGCAGGGAGGAGAGGCUAAUGGUUAAUACCCAUUAGAUUAGACGUUACCUGCAGAAUAAGCACCGGCUAACUCUGUGCCAGCAGCCGCGGUAAUACAGAGGGUGCGAGCGUUAAUCGGAAUUACUGGGCGUAAAGCGAGUGUAGGUGGCUCAUUAAGUCACAUGUGAAAUCCCCGGGCUUAACCUGGGAACUGCAUGUGAUACUGGUGGUGCUAGAAUAUGUGAGAGGGAAGUAGAAUUCCAGGUGUAGCGGUGAAAUGCGUAGAGAUCUGGAGGAAUACCGAUGGCGAAGGCAGCUUCCUGGCAUAAUAUUGACACUGAGAUUCGAAAGCGUGGGUAGCAAACAGGAUUAGAUACCCUGGUAGUCCACGCCGUAAACGAUGUCUACUAGCCGUUGGGGUCCUUGAGACUUUAGUGGCGCAGUUAACGCGAUAAGUAGACCGCCUGGGGAGUACGGCCGCAAGGUUAAAACUCAAAUGAAUUGACGGGGGCCCGCACAAGCGGUGGAGCAUGUGGUUUAAUUCGAUGCAACGCGAAGGAACCUUACCUGGGUCUUGACAUA
This 935-nucleotide ribosomal RNA is filed under the name Faucicola osloensis. RNAcentral's name for it is "bacterial SSU rRNA". It matches the Rfam family "Bacterial small subunit ribosomal RNA", at positions 56 to 988 of the family's 1533-position model. Lineage: Bacteria; Pseudomonadati; Pseudomonadota; Gammaproteobacteria; Moraxellales; Moraxellaceae. The record is from RNAcentral.